Molecule: small RNA, 568 nt
Filed under: Pongo abelii (Sumatran orangutan)
Lineage: Eukaryota; Metazoa; Chordata; Mammalia; Primates; Hominidae
Description: retained intron
Source: RNAcentral
GAAGCAGCAUGAGCUGGCGUCUAAGGAUUAUGAAAACUGAGCAAGUGCCCAGGACUAGAAACUUCCCAGCCCCCUGAACUCAGCCUCAGGGUAAGCGAGUUUAGUAGUGCUUCCUUUGAUUUUCAAAUCUGUGGAAGGUUUGUUUCAGUUUUUCCCAGACAAAUAUUGUUGGGAUAGUGUUUCUUUUCAAAAAUGGAUAGGAUUCAAUGCUAAUCAAUGGGAAGACAGUGACUCCUGACCAUUUUCCUCCUAGCUGGAAACUACAGAAGACUCCCAAGUAUCAGGAAAUUUGGAGAAUUUGUGCAGGAAUUAUAUUCAGAGAUAGCAAUUUAUUUACUCAUCAAAGAGAGCUAUUGGAUAGCCACCAUAAAGACCACUCAUUAAAAAACAAAAUUGCAUGAUAUUCUUAACAUUGUCUUUCACUUUUUUUAACCAGGCUUGGUGGAGUUUCAAGAUGCUGAUGAACUUAAGGUCUGGCGCUUGAAAGAAUCAGUGAAGCUUUUCAAGUAGAGGAGGUAUAUUUGAAUAUGUAACCUUUAGUAUCUACAGAAUAGAGGUUGCUUUUUUU